RNAcentral lists this transfer RNA (77 nucleotides) under Bacilli bacterium. Its description in RNAcentral is "tRNA-Met". It matches the Rfam family "tRNA". From Rfam's summary of the family: Transfer RNA (tRNA) molecules are approximately 80 nucleotides in length. Lineage: Bacteria; Bacillati; Bacillota; Bacilli. RNAcentral also lists the same sequence under 1 other name. The record is from RNAcentral.
CGCGGGAUGGAGCAGUUCGGUAGCUCGCAGGGCUCAUAACCCUGAGGUCGGAGGUUCAAAUCCUUCUCCCGCAACCA